UAAACAGACACACUGCCAAUCAUACGUAAAUACACACAUAUAUAUGUACCUAUGGUUACCAAUGACCUCAUUCUAAUUGACGGGAAUUAUAAGUUUACUUUCCAUUUCUAACACCGUCAUUUACCAGCGAGACAUGUUUCUCAAAUACGAUCAACAAACAUUUAUUCCCUACAAACUAACGGAAGGUUCAGACCCGUAAAUUGUGGAAAUACAAGAACAAACCUCCAGGUCAGCUCCGAUAGAUCAGACCAGACGUAUUGAUCUUCAUCAAAGGCGUUCCACUUAUGACCAGGUCUUUCAUACGAAUUAUAUCUUUUUUACGCAGCCGCGGCCAUCUUGUUUAAUAUUAAGACACAAUACGAUUCCUUUAAUCAUCACAUUUUCUUUUUAUAUUUUACAUUAUUUUUUCUUCCCCCCUUCCCCCCAUAUUUGUUUGUAAACGAUAUCAUGCAUUUUACAAACAAAUAGUGUUGUUGGUUAAUGGCUUUCAUCAGACCAACCACAGGUUCACAGCAUUUUCUGAUAUGUGUGACUAACAAGAGAAAUAUCUCUUGUCUGUACAACGCCGGCAGAAUGCAAUUUCACAAAGUAGUCGUUUGUUUUUCAAAGCAAUGGGCGACUGAGUUUUUGUUUUCCGUCCAUUUGUAAAUAUUUUGUUAAAUCGCUGAUAUAGCUGGCUGUGUGGAGUGUGAUUAAGAAAAUCGGUUUGCAAUCUAGGUGGUUUCGGUUUCGGUUCCAUUGCAUGGUACCUUGGGCAUGUGUCUUCGUUGCUUUUUAUAGCUGCGGCGGACCCACGAAUGCCCUGUGAAAGGGAUUGCAUAGUCGGAAGCUGUUUGGAAAUAUUGAUGUGAGUGUGCGUGUGUGUGUGUGUCUGUGUCUGUGUGUGUGUCUGGAAGUGUGUGUGAGUGUGAGUGAAUGUGCGUGUUUGUGUGUGCGUGUGUAUUCGUGUGUGUAUCUGUAUGAGUGUCUGUGAGUAUGUGUGCGCGAAUGUGUGUGUGUGUGAGUGUGUUUCUGUCUUUGUGUGUCUGUGUGUAUUUUAUAUUUUUAUUUAAAAAAUUAAAAAAUAAAAGAUAUAUGUAUGUUCAUGUUUUCAUUUCUACUUUUCCUGUUUCCAUGACCAAAUCUGUA
This is a long non-coding RNA of Octopus bimaculoides (California two-spot octopus), 1128 nucleotides long. NCBI's taxonomy places the organism in Eukaryota, Metazoa, Mollusca, Cephalopoda, Octopoda, Octopodidae. The record is from RefSeq and is a predicted model, not a curated record.